This 245-nucleotide ribosomal RNA is filed under the name uncultured bacterium. RNAcentral describes it as "partial 16S ribosomal RNA". It matches the Rfam family "Bacterial small subunit ribosomal RNA", at positions 524 to 768 of the family's 1533-position model. The record is from RNAcentral.
UACGUAGGUGGCAAGCGUUACUCGGAAUCACUGGGCAUAAAGGGCGUGUAGGCGGAUGCGCAAGUCCGGUGUGAAAUCCCUCGGCUCAACCGGGGAAAGCCACCGGGGACUGCGCGUCUCGAGUGCGGGAGGGGAGAGUGGAACUCUUGGUGGAGCGGUGAAAUGCGUAGAUAUCAAGAGGAACGCCGGUGGCGAAAGCGGCUCUCUGGCCCGUAACUGACGCUGAGGCGCGAAAGCUAGGGGAG